Molecule: long non-coding RNA, 2031 nt
Organism: Dermochelys coriacea (leatherback sea turtle)
Lineage: Eukaryota; Metazoa; Chordata; Testudines; Dermochelyidae
Exons: 3
Source: RefSeq, a predicted model, not a curated record
CCUGCCCCGGGGCUACUUCCCCCCCUUACUAACCGUGGGGUCUGCGACCUUCCCCUGCGCUGUGCGGACCCAACGCCCAGCCACGCCCCGAGGGGGGCUAGUUCCCCGCUGCGGCCCCUGCCGUAGGCACCCUUGCUUGGGGGAGGGGGGGGCUGCUUGUAGAGGCUCCGGCAAGCCGGCUGUGACUGAACAUCAUAUGUUAGACAACAGAUGUGUACACGGACUAAGGCCCCAUCCUGCAAAGGCUACACAGGUGCUUAAUUUACUGCACUCUGACUAGCCCUACUGUAGUCAAAUUAAGUUCUCACAGGAUCAGAGCCUGAAGAUGGAAAGAUAUUUACAUACUGAAUAGGCCUCUUUUAAACUUAAAAAGACAGUGGUGGGUAAGAGCCUACUUUGUGGUACUUCAAAAGAGGAAGUAAAUUGUUCAUGGUGCCGCCCUGCUAACUUCAUCCUUGGGCUUUUCAUCAAUGAAAACAUGAAGGAUGCAAUAAUAGCCUUUGCAAUUUACCACAUAAUAUGAAAUUUGAUUUUUAAAAAUCAGUUUCCCAUUCAAAUGCCUAUAAUAAAUAGAAAAUACUUAAUAAAACUACUUGCUUUAUCACUUCAAUAACUAAACAGUGCAUAGCUUUUGUCUGUAAUUGCAACCAUGCGCAUGCACGUUUGAAUGCUGGACUUUAUGCGGUAUGCCCAGAUGUCUUCCCUAUUUUAGUUUGCUGACAGCAAAGUAGAAUUGUACAAAAGUCCUGUUCCCUGUCAUCAAACACACUGAGUUAUGUUCAUGCUUCCUAUUGUAAUCAACAUACAUGUCAAAUAUUUCACCUAUCAGCCUUGAUAGCCUUUUCAUAGUAUUGUAAGUAAGUGAGAAAAAGUGUUUCAUAGUUAGCUUUGAAAAAUGGGAGGACAAAGAUGAUAGUACAGACAUAAGUAGAAUUUUUUUGUUGUUGUUGAUAGAGGCUGACACACCAAGCCAAAUCUGUUACUUCCUUAAUGGACACAAAUAAACUGAUGAAGUUGUUUGCUAAAUACAAAUGCAAAAUGCUGUUGUCCUUAUUUGUUUUGUUGCUGAAUGUACUGGAACUAAGAAGAAGUAUAUCUAAGAAAUUGUUUGAUUUCAGCAGAAUUGUAUUUUUACAGCUUAGUAUCUUUGGUACAGGGGAUUCUUUAUGAUCCCCAAAGCAGACUAAAUACAGCCCUAAACUGAAUUAAUUGCUGUUUCAACUAUUUUUUUCAGUUCUUCUGAUUUGCAAUAUAAAAAUUGUAGCAACCUGCAUGGCGCUUGGAAGGAGGAGCACAAGUUGCAGAACAAAAAAGUUUGGAGGAGGAGUUGCAAUAUGGAGAGACAAGAGAAACUCCAAUUUGGGGUUUACGGUUCUGAUAACAGAGACUUCAGGCUCAGUUUUAAAGGUUCCCCUAGACUGUUGCUCCUGCAAGCGUUGGGGUAGCUCAGUGGAUAACUCCUCGGAGUCAAGGAGAAAGGGAGCUGUGCCUCCCUGGGAAUCAGAGAGAAACUACUACAGCCGAUCCUGACUAUGUCCACCCUUCUGAAAUGCGUGAGAGUCUGUGGCCUGCCUCAGUAAAUUCUCAGUGUGUCUAUAACAUUUUAUCACCAUUUAAAACAAAAGCACCAAGAACAAUCCUCCAAGUUUAGCAGUGACAACAUAACCUCUCAGAUGGAGGGAACAUCGCUCACUUCCUGAAACUCUGUAGUCUCUCAUGUACUUCCAGAAAUUGGAUACAGCCAGGAGCAGCUAAAGCUUGCCUGCUUUACACCAGCAGCUCUGCCAAUGCGCUCCCCCUUCCUCUGUGCCCCAAAUCUCUCAAUAUAAAGUACAUUUCUCAACAUGCCAAUGUGGGGCACCUGAAAGUGUGAUGGCCAGCACCAGGGAUUGAAACUACGAUUUCCAAAGCUAAAAGUCGUUUUAGCUUGUGCUAAAGAGUCUGGGUCUCAAGCAGAGAGCUAGCACAGACUUAUAUUAUCCUCUGUGUAUUGGGCACACACACUGAACAGUGGCUUAAACAAGCAAAAUG